Molecule: long non-coding RNA, 730 nt
Filed under: Manihot esculenta (cassava)
Lineage: Eukaryota; Viridiplantae; Streptophyta; Magnoliopsida; Malpighiales; Euphorbiaceae
Description: long non-coding RNA (MESC_LNC006881)
Source: RNAcentral
UGCAAUGCAUCUUGUCCAUAUAAAGCAUCUCUACAAGUCUAACUCUGCCAAGGCAAGCAGCAGAAGCACCAUCAAUGAAGUCAAAAAACCAGAAAGCUGUGAUGUCGAGCCCCGGAGACAGGAAAAUCAUGGCACUGGCUCAUAAAAGAAAGAGUUUUCUUCCGUCAAUUGCUUUGUCUCUAGUACUUCUGCUACUUGCUAUCAGCAUGCUUGUUUCAAACAAUUGUUUUAACCGAGUGCAAGUCGAAAAGCCUCAGAUGAUGAGCCGUCCCAUGCCGAAGAUGAUGUUUCCACAGAACAAUGCGCAGGCUGUACGAUCAUUUGUAAUCGGGACAGAGACAGUAAGGAGACUACUAGCUUUUGUAUUUGGGUUUCAGUGAUUCAAUUCCUUGGAAACACUAGUGCGCUGCCAAAUGCAUGGCUUAAUUACAAUUGCAUGAGAAUGGUGCAACCUCAGAUUAUGCUUGUCUAAGUAAUAAAGUUUAAUAUCAACAUACCCCACUUAAUUUUUCGCUUUAUAUAUCAUUUGCUCGAGUGGAAGUAGCCUAGAAGGUGGAGUUCUUCGUCCCUUCUUUAUUACUGAUUCACGUGCAUUAUUAGGAUAUAGAAAAAUUUAAGCCCUAAUAAAUAAACUUUCAUUGUAUAUAGGUGAAUUUAUAAAUUAAAUUGUCGACUACUUAUUGCAAGUAAUGAUUGUUCGGAAAAAAAAAAAGCGUAUAUAUAUAUAUAU